Molecule: ribosomal RNA, 465 nt
Filed under: uncultured bacterium
Lineage: Bacteria
Description: partial 16S ribosomal RNA
Rfam family: Bacterial small subunit ribosomal RNA
Source: RNAcentral
CUACGGGCGGCUGCAGUGGGGAAUAUUGGACAAUGGGGGAAACCCUGAUCCAGCAAUGCCGCGUGUGUGAAGAAGGCCUGCGGGUUGUAAAGCACUUUCGGUUGGGAGGACUGCUUCUAGCACUAAUAUUGUUGGAAGUUGACGUUACCUUCAGAAGAAGCACCGGCUAACUCCGUGCCAGCAGCCGCGGUAAUACGGAGGGUGCAAGCGUUAAUCGGAAUUACUGGGCGUAAAGCGCGCGUAGGCGGCUAGAUCAGUCGGGUGUGAAAGCCCCGGGCUUAACCUGGGAACUGCAUCCGAUACUGUCUAACUUGAGUACAGGAGAGGAGAGUGGAAUUCCACAUGUAGCGGUGAAAUGCGUAGAUAUGUGGAGGAACACCAAUGGCGAAGGCAGCUCUCUGGCCUGAUACUGACGCUGAGGUGCGAAAGCGUGGGGAGCAAACGGGAUUAGAUACCCCUGUAGUC